Long non-coding RNA from Planococcus citri (citrus mealybug), 1598 nucleotides. RefSeq lists it as uncharacterized. The record is from RefSeq and is a predicted model, not a curated record. The transcript has 2 exons. Lineage: Eukaryota; Metazoa; Arthropoda; Insecta; Hemiptera; Pseudococcidae.
UAGUUCACUAUCAGUACAGCCAUCUAUUUUAUUGUGAUUUCUUUCGAUUCUACGAGUACAAUUUAAAAUAAUAUGUACAAAAAGACACGAUAAUUUCUGGAAUGAUUAAUGAUACGAGGACUUGAUACCAUAUAUGAUUUUGUAAACUUGUGAUAAUAUCUAGCCUAUUUGAUAACUGGUGCGUUAUGUUCCUUAAAGUGAAUCGUGUCUGAAAAAAAUAUCAAUAUACCCGCCGUCCCGCCCAUUUCACCACGAAGAUGAGCCAGUCAACUUCCUCUGCAUCAGAUUUAAAACCAAAAGCCUCAAUUCCAGAUGAUCAAAGUGUUGUUGAUGCGAACUGGGAGAAAAUCUCGUAUUUGUGGACCAUAAAACAUUUCCAACAAUUCCAUUGUAAAAUCAAUGAAGAUAUGCUAACGUCAACAGUGUUUAGUGCUGCCAACCAUCCUGAAUUUAAGUGGUAUUUGAAAUUUCAUUUCAAGCAAUCAGGGUCUGAAUAUGCUAAUCAUUUCGGGGUAUUUCUAUGUCGCUGUGAGCCUACCACUAAGCCCUUUGAUAAUGUAUUUGUUGAAUUGAAAAUUUGUGCAUUGAAUGAUGAACACAAUGAAUCACUUGAUAAAAAAUUCUCUCUAAAAUUCACCUCCGAGAUUUUAAGUUGCAGAUUUACAAAAUUUAUAUCAAAGACAACAUUAUUAGAUCCAAGGAACGGAUUUCUACCUAACGAUACUUUGAGAAUUUUCUGUGAAAUGAAAUUCGCCCCAAUAAACAGUGCUGCCAGUGACGGAACAGAAUCGACAACUCCUAACAAUAGUCUUUCGAAAUAUGCAGGAGAUUAUCUUUUGGGCGGUGAUGAUUUCGUAGAUGUUACAUUUUCAGUGGAUGGUAAGAAUUACGGUGCUAAUAGAAGUAUUUUAGCCGCUCGAAGUCCCGUUUUUGCCGCCAUGUUCAAACAAGACAUGCGAGAAAACAAACACAGCAAUGUAAAUAUCUCUGACAUGAGUUGUGAAACAUUCGAAUGCUUUUACAUAUACCUGUAUACAGACAUCAGUGACAGCACCUUGGUAGAUGCAGAAAUGGCGCUUAAUUUACUCAUCGCAGCUGAUAAAUAUGACGUUGGUGGUUUGAAAGCAGUUUGUGAAGAAAUAUUAUGGACGAAUUUGGCGCAGGAUUUAUCGACAGAGAAUGUGAUCUCUGUUUUAACACUGGCUGAUAAAUUUCGGGCAAAACAAUUGAAAAAACAAGUUGUAUCUUAUAUCCAGAAGCACCCUUCAAUCAUGACAACUCAAAGAUGGAAAUGUGAAAUUUUGGCUCACCCUCACUUAUUUGAUGAUGUGAAUGGAGUACAGAAUGAAGUAUCUGAAGGUGUUCGGGUUAGAGUGCCAUAUACAGGUCGUGUUUGGAGUAUACGACUACCACAGUGGCUCGAGAGGGUUAAGAAAACCUUGAAAUCAACUUGACUAUUUAAUGUAGAUAUGUAUAUUGUAUUUGGAUAUCUUGCUUUAUGUUUAAUUUUUGUGCUACUGUCAAAUGUUUUGCACAAUUAUGCAGUGAAUUCUGUUUGUUUGGUUCAUUUUAAUAAAACAUUUGACUACUUCAGCUUU